AUGUUAGCGGCGGACGGGUGAGUAACACGUGGGUAACCUGCCUGUAAGACUGGGAUAACUCCGGGAAACCGGAGCUAAUACCGGAUAGUUCCUUGAACCGCAUGGUUCAAGGAUGAAAGACGGUUUCGGCUGUCACUUACAGAUGGACCCGCGGCGCAUUAGCUAGUUGGUGGGGUAAUGGCUCACCAAGGCGACGAUGCGUAGCCGACCUGAGAGGGUGAUCGGCCACACUGGGACUGAGACACGGCCCAGACUCCUACGGGAGGCAGCAGUAGGGAAUCUUCCGCAAUGGACGAAAGUCUGACGGAGCAACGCCGCGUGAGUGAUGAAGGUUUUCGGAUCGUAAAGCUCUGUUGUUAGGGAAGAACAAGUGCGAGAGUAACUGCUCGCACCUUGACGGUACCUAACCAGAAAGCCACGGCUAACUACGUGCCAGCAGCCGCGGUAAUACGUAGGUGGCAAGCGUUGUCCGGAAUUAUUGGGCGUAAAGGGCUCGCAGGCGGUUUCUUAAGUCUGAUGUGAAAGCCCCCGGCUCAACCGGGGAGGGUCAUUGGAAACUGGGAAACUUGAGUGCAGAAGAGGAGAGUGGAAUUCCACGUGU
Molecule: ribosomal RNA, 601 nt
Filed under: Bacillus sp. (in: firmicutes)
Lineage: Bacteria; Bacillati; Bacillota; Bacilli; Caryophanales; Bacillaceae
Description: bacterial SSU rRNA
Rfam family: Bacterial small subunit ribosomal RNA
Source: RNAcentral